CCAGCAGCCGCGGUAAUUCCAGCUCCAAUAGCGUAUAUUAAAGUUGUUGCAGUUAAAAAGCUCGUAGUUGGAUUUCUGGGAGGGUGCCAAUGUCCGCUCGUUCGCGUGUGCAGCGGCGCCCUUCCAUCCUUCUGUUAACGUUUCUUGGUAUUCAGUUACUGGUUUCGGGCUCAGAUAUUUUACCUUGAGAAAAUUAGAGUGUUUCAGGCAGGCUUGCGCCGGAAUACAUUAGCAUGGAAUAAUAGAAUAGGACUUUAGUCUCCUUUGUUGGUUUGAGGGACUGAAGUAAUGAUUAAUAGGGAUAGUUGGGGGCAUUAGUAUUUAAUUGUCAGAGGUGAAAUUCUCGGAUUUGUUAAAGACUAACUUAUGCGAAAGCAUUUGCCAAGGAUGUUUUCAUUAAUCAAGAACGAAAGUC
Molecule: ribosomal RNA, 415 nt
Filed under: uncultured eukaryote
Lineage: Eukaryota
Description: SSU rRNA
Rfam family: Eukaryotic small subunit ribosomal RNA
Source: RNAcentral